This 483-nucleotide ribosomal RNA is filed under the name uncultured bacterium. RNAcentral describes it as "partial 16S ribosomal RNA". It matches the Rfam family "Bacterial small subunit ribosomal RNA", at positions 30 to 507 of the family's 1533-position model. The record is from RNAcentral.
AUUGAACGCUGGCGGCAGGCCUAACACAUGCAAGUCGAGCGGAUGAAGGGAGCUUGCUCCUGGAUUCAGCGGCGGACGGGUGAGUAAUGCCUAGGAAUCUGCCUGGUAGUGGGGGAUAACGUCCGGAACGGGCGCUAAUACCGCAUACGUCCUGAGGGAGAAAGUGGGGGAUCUUCGGACCUCACGCUAUCAGAUGAGCCUAGGUCGGAUUAGCUAGUUGGUGGGGUAAAGGCCUACCAAGGCGACGAUCCGUAACUGGUCUGAGAGGAUGAUCAGUCACACUGGAACUGAGACACGGUCAAGACUCCUACGGGAGGCAGCAGUGGGGAAUAUUGGAAAAUGGGCGAAAGCCUGAUCCAGCCAUGCCGCGUGUGUGAAGAAGGUCUUCGGAUUGUAAAGCACUUUAAGUUGGGAGGAAGGGCAGUAAGUUAAUACCUUGCUGUUUUGACGUUACCAACAGAAUAAGCACCGGCUAACUUCGUG